Molecule: long non-coding RNA, 998 nt
Filed under: Solanum tuberosum (potato)
Lineage: Eukaryota; Viridiplantae; Streptophyta; Magnoliopsida; Solanales; Solanaceae
Description: long non-coding RNA (STUB_LNC004158)
Source: RNAcentral
UCGUGUUUCAGGGAAAGACUCUUCAUGUUCUGCAUCGGGUAUGUCAAUGGUUGAGGGAUCUGUUGCUACAAUGUCUGCCCCAGAAUCAGUUGAAAGCCACGCCCUUCAGCUUCAUCCAUCUCCUCCGAGUCCGCUUCUUUCGCCAUCUCCAAUCACUUCAUCUCAUGAAACUUCUGAUACUGAGGUAGCAGGAACUAAUUCACCAUCAGCGACUUCAGCUUUGUCUUCACAGGGGAGCAAUAUUACGACAUUUUCUUUGACUCAGACGAACCCUUAUUCUUCACCUGCUCUGGCCGCACCUUCCCAGCCACCUUUGUGCAGGCCAUCCCUGUCACUUUCAAGUAACAUCCGGUCAUUUUCACCUCCUCCACCUCCCCCACCCCCUCCGCCUCCACCAUUAACUAGCUCGAGGAUGACUUCACUGGGUGCCUUUUCUCCUCCCCCACCACCACCACCUCCACCUCUGCCCUCAUCAUCCAGUGUAAUAAAUGUUGGUAGGGUCCCUCCACCACCCCUUUGGAUGGGGUAUGGGACUACCUCAGAAGUAGUAUCUAGUUCAUCACCACCUCCACCUCCACCUCCACCUCCUCCACCACCUCCUCCUCCUACACCUCCUACUCUUUCCCCACGAAUCCUACAUACCUCGCAAGUUGCUCCACCUCCACCGCCCCCACCACCACCACCUCCUUCAACCUACGUUCCCCCUCCUUUAUACAACACUCAAUCUGCACCAUCUCCACCACCUCCCCCUCCUUUUUCUAGAGCGCCAACUCCACCACCUCCCCCUCCCCCUCCUUUUUCUAGAGCGCCAACUCCGCCACCUCCCCCUCCCCCUCCUUUUUCUAGAGCGCCAACUCCGCCACCUCCCCCUCCCCCUCCUUUUUCUAGAGCGCCAACUCCGCCACCUCCCCCUCCCCCUCCUUUUUCUAGAGCGCCAACUCCACCACCACCACCUCCAUUGCCUGGAGCUCCACCUCCUCCUAUGCGGGGGCCUCCAC